GCGAACGGGUGAGUAACACGUGGGCAAUCUGCCCUGCACUCUGGGACAAGCCCUGGAAACGGGGUCUAAUACCGGAUAACACUCCCGCACUCAUGUGUGGGGGUUAAAAGCUCCGGCGGUGCAGGAUGAGCCCGCGGCCUAUCAGCUUGUUGGUGAGGUAAUGGCUCACCAAGGCGACGACGGGUAGCCGGCCUGAGAGGGCGACCGGCCACACUGGGACUGAGACACGGCCCAGACUCCUACGGGAGGCAGCAGUGGGGAAUAUUGCACAAUGGGCGAAAGCCUGAUGCAGCGACGCCGCGUGAGGGAUGACGGCCUUCGGGUUGUAAACCUCUUUCAGCAGGGAAGAAGCGAAAGUGACGGUACCUGCAGAAGAAGCGCCGGCUAACUACGUGCCAGCAGCCGCGGUAAUACGUAGGGCGCAAGCGUUGUCCGGAAUUAUUGGGCGUAAAGAGCUCGUAGGCGGCUUGUCACGUCGGGUGUGAAAGCCCGGGGCUUAACCCCGGGUCUGCAUUCGAUACGGGCUAGCUAGAGUGUGGUAGGGGAGAUCGGAAUUCCUGGUGUAGCGGUGAAAUGCGCAGAUAUCAGGAGGAACACCGGUGGCGAAGGCGGAUCUCUGGGCCAUUACUGACGCUGAGGAGCGAAAGCGUGGGGAGCGAACAGGAUUAGAUACCCUGGUAGUCCA
This 685-nucleotide ribosomal RNA is filed under the name Streptomyces sp. M11(2014). Its description in RNAcentral is "bacterial SSU rRNA". It matches the Rfam family "Bacterial small subunit ribosomal RNA", at positions 98 to 797 of the family's 1533-position model. The record is from RNAcentral. Lineage: Bacteria; Bacillati; Actinomycetota; Actinomycetes; Kitasatosporales; Streptomycetaceae.